Molecule: ribosomal RNA, 497 nt
Filed under: uncultured bacterium
Lineage: Bacteria
Description: partial 16S ribosomal RNA
Rfam family: Bacterial small subunit ribosomal RNA
Source: RNAcentral
GAUGAACGCUGGCGGCGUGCCUAAUACAUGCAAGUCGAGCGAACGGACGAGAAGCUUGCUUCUCUGAUGUUAGCGGCGGACGGGUGAGUAACACGUGGAUAACCUACCUAUAAGACUGGGAUAACUUCGGGAAACCGGAGCUAAUACCGGAUAAUAUUUUGAACCGCAUGGUUCAAAAGUGAAAGCCGGUCUUGCUGUCACUUAUAGAUGGAUCCGCGCUGCAUUAGCUAGUUGGUAAGGUAACGGCUUACCAAGGCAACGAUGCAUAGCCGACCUGAGAGGGUGAUCGGCCACACUGGAACUGAGACACGGUCCAGACUCCUACGGGAGGCAGCAGUAGGGAAUCUUCCGCAAUGGGCGAAAGCCUGACGGAGCAACGCCGCGUGAGUGAUGAAGGUCUUCGGAUCGUAAAACUCUGUUAUUAGGGAAGAACAUAUGUGUAAGUAACUGUGCACAUCUUGACGGUACCUAAUCAGAAAGCCACGGCUAACUACGUG